Molecule: ribosomal RNA, 183 nt
Filed under: uncultured bacterium
Lineage: Bacteria
Description: partial 16S ribosomal RNA
Rfam family: Bacterial small subunit ribosomal RNA
Source: RNAcentral
ACAUGAAGCUGGAAUCGCUAGUAAUCGCGGAUCAGAAUGCCGCGGUGAAUACGUUCCCGGGUCUUGUACACACCGCCCGUCACACCAUGGGAGUCGGAAAUGCCCGAAGUCUGUGACCUAACCGCAAGGGAGGAGCAGCCGAAGGCAGGUCGGAUGACUGGGGUGAAGUCGUAACAAGGUAUC